This 1061-nucleotide long non-coding RNA is filed under the name Struthio camelus australis. RNAcentral describes it as "lncRNA (ENSSCUG00000010004.1)". Lineage: Eukaryota; Metazoa; Chordata; Aves; Struthioniformes; Struthionidae. The record is from RNAcentral.
GACAUAUUAAAAUCUAUAUUCCAAAGACUCUAACCUUUAUAAAGAACAAGCAAAACUAUACAUUCCUUUUCUGCAUUUAUAUAAUUCCCUCUCUAUUACGUUCCUGCAGUCCUCUAAUGUUUUAAUCUUUCUGUCACACUUGCAUGAAACUACAGGCCUGGGUUGGAGCCUGCUUCCUUUGCCCUUAAGAAGUUAAGAAAAAGAAGCCAAGACUCUUCCACUUGAUUUUUACUUUUAUAUUUUUAUUUAAUAAUGAUAGCUUUUGAACAAGAUCUGAGUUUUGUCUUAUAAUAUAAUAAUAUUACUCAUGAUAUUAAUGGUAGCAAUGUUACUCAUGUAGUGAGUUGCAUCAAUUGUAAGGGAGGAUUUUUUGUACUUAAUGUCAUAAAUACAUUUAAUAUGUCACCAUAAUUGAUUCUAUCUUUAAUUUUGCAAUAAAGCUUACUAACAGAUGAAAGCCUGGGUUGAAGACUGCGAUAUGAUAACCCUUCCAUCUAGAUUUCCAGUUCAGAUUCUGCUUGAGAGAAAGCCAAUGUCUGACAACUGGACGGUCACCUCUGUGAAUUAAUCUGGUGGGCUCAAUCCGAUUCUACUCACAUCUCCAAAACUAGUACUACAGCCAGCAAGUCUCUACACAGAGUCUAAGAGUUAAGCAAUCACAAUGACUGAACCAUCAACUUGACCUUUAAGAUCCCUUUAGAAAAGGUUUGAUCCACAUUGAUUUACUUUAUCUCUCAGAUGAUCAGCUCUGUACUAAAACCCUGACUGACGAGAAGUCAUUUUUUGAUGCAUUAUGUUAGCAGUGUUCCACAGCCUAACAUGAAAACAGCGGGUGAAAGUCACACCUCACUGAAGUCAAUAGGAGGAUUGCUUUCAGUGGAACUUGGACUUCACCCGGCCAAUCCAGUCUGCAGUGUUUGGAUCCUACCUAUGUCCAAAGUACAGAUUCCAUCAUCUGCCUUCUUUCCUGAACCUUAAAGGUAUUUACUCAGCAUUGCAGUCUCUCAGUUCCACUUUGUUUUAAUGCAGUUACAUAAUAAACUAUGGACCUCCAGAGAUCA